RNAcentral lists this ribosomal RNA (395 nucleotides) under uncultured bacterium. RNAcentral describes it as "bacterial SSU rRNA". It matches the Rfam family "Bacterial small subunit ribosomal RNA", at positions 505 to 898 of the family's 1533-position model. The record is from RNAcentral.
GUGUCAGCAGCCGCGGUAAUACGUAGGGUGCGAGCGUUAAUCGGAAUUACUGGGCGUAAAGCGUGCGCAGGCGGCGCGUUAAGACAGGUGUGAAAGCCCCGAGCUUAACUUGGGAAUUGCGCUUGUGACUGGCGUGCUGGAGUGUGGCAGAGGGAGGUGGAAUUCCACGUGUAGCAGUGAAAUGCGUAGAGAUGUGGAGGAACACCGAUGGCGAAGGCAGCCUCCUGGGCCAGCACUGACGCUCAUGCACGAAAGCGUGGGGAGCAAACAGGAUUAGAUACCCUGGUAGUCCACGCCCUAAACGAUGUCAACUGGUUGUUGGUGGGGUUAAACCCAUUAGUAACGAAGCUAACGCGUGAAGUUGACCGCCUGGGGAGUACGGCCGCAAGGUUAAA